RNAcentral lists this ribosomal RNA (553 nucleotides) under uncultured archaeon. Its description in RNAcentral is "bacterial SSU rRNA". It matches the Rfam family "Archaeal small subunit ribosomal RNA", at positions 326 to 879 of the family's 1478-position model. The record is from RNAcentral.
CGGGGUGCACCAGGCGCGAAAACUUUACAAUGCCGGCAACGGCGAUAAGGGAACCUCGAGUGCCAGGUUACAAAUCUGGCUGUCGUGAUGCCUAAAAAGCAUUGCAUAGCAAGGGCCGGGCAAGACCGGUGCCAGCCGCCGCGGUAACACCGGCGGCUCGAGUGGUAACCGUUAUUAUUGGGUCUAAAGGGUCUGUAGCCGGCCGGGUAAGUCUCUUGGGAAAUCUGGCAGCUUAACUGUCAGGCUUUCAGGAGAUACUGCCUGGCUCGAGGCCGGGAGAGGUGAGAGGUACUUCAGGGGUAGGGGUGAAAUCUUGUAAUCCUUGAAGGACCACCAGUGGCGAAGGCGUCUCACCAGAACGGACCUGACGGCAAGGGACGAAAGCUAGGGGCACGAACCGGAUUAGAUACCCGGGUAGUCCUAGCCGUAAACGAUACUCGCUAGGUGUCGGCCACGGUGCGACCGUGGUCGGUGCCGCAGGGAAGCCGUGAAGCGAGCCACCUGGGAAGUACGGCCGCAAGGCUGAAACUUAAAGGAAUUGGCGGGGGAGCAC